UAGAGUUUGAUCCUGGCUCAGGACGAACGCUGGCGGCGUGCUUAACACAUGCAAGUCGAGCGGUAAGGCCCUUCGGGGUACACGAGCGGCGAACGGGUGAGUAACACGUGAGUAACCUGCCCUCAGCUUUGGGAUAACCCUCGGAAACGGGGGCUAAUACCGGAUAUGACCCACUAUCGCAUGGUGUGUGGGUGGAAAGUUUUUCGGCUGGGGAUGGGCUCGCGGCCUAUCAGCUUGUUGGUGGGGUGAUGGCCUACCAAGGCGACGACGGGUAGCCGGCCUGAGAGGGCGACCGGCCACACUGGGACUGAGACACGGCCCAGACUCCUACGGGAGGCAGCAGUGGGGAAUAUUGGACAAUGGGCGCAAGCCUGAUCCAGCCAUGCCGCGUGAGUGACGAAGGUCUUCGGAUUGUAAAGCUCUUUUGGCGGGGACGAUAAUGACGGUACCCGCAGAAUAAGCCCCGGCUAACUUCGUGCCAGCAGCCCCGGUCAA
This 495-nucleotide ribosomal RNA is filed under the name uncultured bacterium. Its description in RNAcentral is "bacterial SSU rRNA". It matches the Rfam family "Bacterial small subunit ribosomal RNA", at positions 1 to 524 of the family's 1533-position model. The record is from RNAcentral.